This is an RNA transcript of Aegilops tauschii subsp. strangulata, 2151 nucleotides long. It is a transcript of the gene named cysteine-rich receptor-like protein kinase 6, with no coding region annotated. NCBI's taxonomy places the organism in Eukaryota, Viridiplantae, Streptophyta, Magnoliopsida, Poales, Poaceae. The record is from RefSeq and is a predicted model, not a curated record.
AUGCCAUACACACAGACACACAACACAAUGAGCCACCUCGUCGUGGUCGUGGCAUCCCUCGCCGUCGUGCUGCUGGCGCGGUGCGCAGCGGCGUAUCCGUGGCAUUUGUGCGGCACGGCGGCCAACUUCACGGCCAACAGCACGUACCAGGCCAACCUCGGCCUCCUCGCCGCGGCGCUGCCCAAGAACAUCUCCUCGUCCCGGCACCUCUUCGCCACCGCCGUGGUCGGCGCCGCCCCGGACCAGGUCUCGGCGCUCGCGCUCUGCCGGGGCGACGCCAACGCCACGGCCUGCUCCGGCUGCCUCGCCGUGGCCUUCCAGGACGUGCAGAACCAGUGCGCCUACGACAAGGACGCCGCCAUCUACUACGACCCCUGCGCCCUCUACUACUCCUCCAACGCCACCUCCCUCGCCUCCAUGGAUAACGUCGGGAGGACGAACCGCGUCAACAACCAGAACGUCACGUCCGACCCCGGGCGGUUCAACCGCCAGGCGGCCGCGCUCGUGAGCGCCACCGCCGACUACGCGGCGUACAACUCCACGCGCCGGUACGCGUCCGGGGAGGCCGACCUCGGCGUCGGCGGCCAGUUCCCCAGGGUGUACAGCUGGGCGCAGUGCACGCCGGACCUGACGCCGGCGCGGUGCCGUGGUUGCCUCGCCGGACUCAUUGCCAAAAUGUCUAGGCGGUUCACCGGCAGCGUCGGAGGGAGAUCUCUUGGGGUCAGGUGCAGCUACCGAUACGAGACGUACUCCUUCCUCGACGGCCCGGUGAUGGUCAGGCUGGCUGCGCCGCCGAGCUCGGCCGCGCCUGCGCCUGCGCCGGCAGUUGGGCCCACGGUUCCGACUCCAGGGGCGGUCGCCGGAGAGAGGAAGUUCGUCGUUACUGCCACGGUCCUUGUUAUUGUGCUGCCUACCAUCGCAGCUCUGGUGAUAAUCAACCUUCUUGUUUGGCUCUGUAUCUGGAGGAGGAUGAGGAGGCCACAAGCAGGAGCAACUCAACCAUAUUCUAGUCGCGAGAACAUGGAAAGCGUAGAAUCGAUGCUCAUCGACAUUUCUACGCUGAGAGCUGCGACCGGGGGUUUCGCAGUGUACAAGGUAUGUAAUGAACAAAAGUUAGUCCAAGCAUAUAUAAUACCAUCAAACUAUAAUCACUACUCCCUCUGUACCGUUUUAUUUGUUGUUGGGGGUUUCUAGUACAAAGUUUAUCACGUACAAUUCUUUUUGCUGUUUCCUAAACUACCCUCCCACCGCUCGCUCUCGUCCACUCUCUCGCUCACUCACAAGCUCGCUCUCCAUAGCCUGCGUCGUCGGCGCCUCUAUCUCGUCUGCGUCGCCGGCGCCUCUCCCUAGCCUGCAUCGCCUGCGCCUCUACCUCGUCUGUGUCGUCGGCGCCUCUCCCUCGCCCGCGUUGGCGCCGCCUUUCCAUUGGCUCCGUCGCCGUCGCCGUCGCCAAGAUCUCAUUUUUAUUCUCCGGCGGCUCGAUCUGCAACGGCCUUCCUCCAUUCCAACGCCAGCAGCUGCGGUGCAGAUCUCCGAGCUUUACCAACGCCUCUCCGAGCUCGUCCCCAACGUGCGGCAGCCGACCAUGUAGCUUCGUCGCCGACAAGCUGGAGCAGAGGAGGACCGAAGCAAGCUGGAGCAAGUUGCAGCGUGCUUCCCCGACAACGAUGAUUCUCUUGAUUGGAGUGGGGAGGAGCAGCAGAAGUGGACAGCGCAGCGGCUGACCUCAAGCUCUUGAUUGGAGUGGGGGAGGCAGCCGGCGAGGGAUUUGUAGCCAGCAGGGAAGGAUCCGAAGCUGUGGCGGAGCAGGCAGCCCGCGGGGAAGGGCGGCCGGCGAGGGAGCUGCGGACGGUGGCGGGGAAGGGCGGACGGCGAGGGAGCUGCGGACCGCGGCGGGGAAGGACGCCGGAGAUGCGGACGACGGAGGAGCCCGGCGGAGAAUCCUGGCGGAGGGGAGGAGCGACGGAGGAAGACGCCUCCUGAUCAAUUUCAAAUCAGGGGUACUUCCGUACUUUCACGCCAUUUCACCUGGUCGGAACGAAACCCCCAACGACAAAUAAAUCGAAACAGAGGGAGUAGUAUAUUACACUAAUCGUGGCAUGGUUUCAUCUACUCCUUGUGUCGAACUCUUGUCGAGCCUUUUCACCGCUA